GAUGAGCGCUGGCGGCGUGCCUAAUACAUGCAAGUCGAGCGAACAGACGAGGAGCUUGCUCCUCUGACGUUAGCGGCGGACGGGUGAGUAACACGUGGAUAACCUACCUAUAAGACUGGGAUAACUUCGGGAAACCGGAGCUAAUACCGGAUAAUAUAUUGAACCGCAUGGUUCAAUAGUGAAAGACGGUUUUGCUGUCACUUAUAGAUGGAUCCGCGCCGCAUUAGCUAGUUGGUAAGGUAACGGCUUACCAAGGCAACGAUGCGUAGCCGACCUGAGAGGGUGAUCGGCCACACUGGAACUGAGACACGGUCCAGACUCCUACGGGAGGCAGCAGUAGGGAAUCUUCCGCAAUGGGCGAAAGCUUGACGGAGCGACGCCGCGUGAGUGAUGAAGGUCUUCGGAUCGUAAAACUCUGUUAUUAGGGAAGAACAAAUGUGUAAGUAACUAUGCACGCCUUGACGGUACCUAAUCAGAAAGCCACGGCUAACUACGUG
This 497-nucleotide ribosomal RNA is filed under the name uncultured bacterium. RNAcentral's name for it is "partial 16S ribosomal RNA". It matches the Rfam family "Bacterial small subunit ribosomal RNA", at positions 28 to 507 of the family's 1533-position model. The record is from RNAcentral.